CCCCUGUUUUUCGAAAGCUUUGCGCCCUAUAUUGGGGACGCCGGUUCGCCGGCUAUGGAAAUAAACGGUCGUCGUAAUAAACCAUUCGGACCCGGGGGCGGUACCCGGCGCCUCCACCAAAGCCCACUUGAAAGCCCAUUUGGGCUUACCCCAGAAGUGGGCUUUGGCGGGGGCGAAAUAGGAUCGACGAGGGCGUAAAGGGCGUGCUUUUUCCCGGUAUUGUUCCGCCGUUAUCGGGCUACUGCAAUAGUUGCCAACGACAACUUUGCUCCGGUUGCUCAGGCUGCGUAACGCAGUUUGAAAGACCACUUUAAAGUCCUAGCGGGUUAAGCUCCGCUAGGCGGGGUUCGGAGGCACCUGGCAACAGAAGCCUCCACU
RNAcentral lists this transfer-messenger RNA (378 nucleotides) under Bradyrhizobium daqingense. Its description in RNAcentral is "Alphaproteobacteria transfer-messenger RNA". It matches the Rfam family "Alphaproteobacteria transfer-messenger RNA". Rfam says of the family: Bacterial tmRNA, also known as 10Sa RNA or SsrA, is named for its dual tRNA and mRNA-like properties. Its role is to liberate the mRNA from a stalled ribosome. To accomplish this part of the tmRNA is used as a reading frame that ends in a translation stop signal. Lineage: Bacteria; Pseudomonadati; Pseudomonadota; Alphaproteobacteria; Hyphomicrobiales; Nitrobacteraceae. The record is from RNAcentral.